This 492-nucleotide ribosomal RNA is filed under the name uncultured bacterium. Its description in RNAcentral is "partial 16S ribosomal RNA". It matches the Rfam family "Bacterial small subunit ribosomal RNA", at positions 29 to 507 of the family's 1533-position model. The record is from RNAcentral.
AGUGAACGCUGGCGGUAGGCCUAACACAUGCAAGUCGAACGGCAGCACAGUAAGAGCUUGCUCUUACGGUUGGCGAGUGGCGGAUGGGUGAGGAAUACAUCGGAAUCUACUUUUUCGUGGGGGAUAACGUAGGGAAACUUACGCUAAUACCGCAUACGACCUACGGGUGAAAGCAGGGGAUCUUCGGACCUUGCGCGUUUGAAUGAGCCGAUGUCGGAUUAGCUAGUUGGCGAGGUAAAGGCCCACCAAGGCGACGAUCCGUAGCUGGUCUGAGAGGAUGAUCGGCCACACUGGAACUGAGACACGGUCCAGACUCCUACGGGAGGCAGCAGUGGGGAAUAUUGGACAAUGGGCGCAAGCCUGAUCCAGCCAUGCCGCGUGGGUGAAGAAGGCCUUCGGGUUGUAAAGCCCUUUUGUUGGGAAAGAAAAGCAGCGGGUUAAUACCCCGCUGUUCUGACGGUACCCAAAGAAUAAGCACCGGCUAACUUCGUG